AGAGUUUGAUCAUGGCUCAGGAUGAACGCUAGCGGCAGGCUUAAUACAUGCAAGUCGUGGGGCAGCGCAGUGUAGCAAUACAUGGGCGGCGACCGGCAAACGGGUGCGGAACACGUACACAACCUUCCUUCAAAUGGGGAAUAGCCCAGGGAAACUUGGAUUAAUACCCCGUAAUAUUGCGAGAUGGCAUCAUUUUGCAAUUAUAGCUCAGGCGUUUGAAGAUGGGUGUGCGGCUGAUUAGGUAGUUGGCGGGGUAACGGCCCACCAAGCCUACGAUCAGUAACUGGUGUGAGAGCACGACCAGUCACACGGGCACUGAGACACGGGCCCGACUCCUACGGGAGGCAGCAGUAAGGAAUAUUGGUCAAUGGACGCAAGUCUGAACCAGCCAUGCCGCGUGGAGGAUGAAGGUCCUCUGGAUUGUAAACUUCUUUUCUCUGGGGCGAAAAAAGGGUAUUCUUACCCACUUGACAGUACCAGGGGAAUAAGCACCGGCUAACUCCGUGCCAGCAGCCGCGGUAAUAC
This 525-nucleotide ribosomal RNA is filed under the name uncultured bacterium. RNAcentral describes it as "bacterial SSU rRNA". It matches the Rfam family "Bacterial small subunit ribosomal RNA", at positions 8 to 526 of the family's 1533-position model. The record is from RNAcentral.